Non-coding RNA from Camellia sinensis, 319 nucleotides. The record is from RefSeq and is a predicted model, not a curated record. Lineage: Eukaryota; Viridiplantae; Streptophyta; Magnoliopsida; Ericales; Theaceae.
UAUUUUCUUCAAGUCAGAAGUACAAUUUGGUCAUGCGGGAGCCAAAAGUGGUGGUGAGAUGGAGUCUGCACAAGCCAAGAAUCAAGCACUUCACGAUGCUGGAGCUGUUGUCCCAACUUCAUUUGAAGCAUUUGAAACUAUGAUUAAAGAAACAUUUGAGAAGCUGGUUGAGGGGGGCAAUGUUACUCCUACAAAGGAAGUUUAAGCCUCCACAAAUCCCUGAGGAUCUUAAUACUGCUAUUAAGAGUGGAAAAGUCCGAGCUCCAACUCAUAUUAUAUCCACCAUAUCUGAUGACAGAGGAUACCGGGAGGACAGCAG